Molecule: small nuclear RNA, 100 nt
Filed under: Amborella trichopoda
Lineage: Eukaryota; Viridiplantae; Streptophyta; Magnoliopsida; Amborellales; Amborellaceae
Source: RNAcentral
ACAGAGUGUGUCUCCGAAAAAAUUGAUACGGUACAGAAAAGAUUAGCAUGCCCCUUGCACAAAAAUAGCAUAUACAAAUAAAAAAAUGGUCUAAAUUUUG